UGAUAGAGGUGUACAAGAUAGUUAGAAGCAUUGAUCGUGUGGAUAGUCAGAGGCUUUUUCCUCACAGCUGAAAUGGCUAACAUGAGAGGACAUAGUUUUAAGGUGCUUGGAAGUAGGUGCAGAGGAGAUGUCAGGGGCAAGUUUUUUUACGAAGAGAGUGGUGAGUGCAUGGAAUAGGUUGCCAGCAGCGGUAGUGGAGGUGAAAGCGAUAGGGUCUUUUAACAGACACCUGGAUAGGUACAUGGAGCUUAGAAAAAUAGAGGGCUAUGGGUAAGCCUAGGUAGUUCUAAGAUAAGGACGUUCGGCACAGCUUUGUGGGCUGAAAGGCCUGUAUUGUUUCUGUCAGUUUUCUAUGUUUCUGUGUUUCACAAACCUCAGUAUCCAGUUCAUCAUUCCCAAUAACUUCUACUAUUUACGGCGGGAUCCAACCUGAAUGCAUCUUUCUGCUAAAACCCCUCACAAUCUUGGCUUUCAAUAGGGAUUGUUCUCUAUGUGAUGCCAUUCUCCACUCGACCUUCUCCACUGAUCUCCCUCCUGAUGAUAUCUGUCAUAACCUUAGUCUUUGCUUAGUACAGAUUCUGAUGCUGAUGUGUGCAUCACCAUCUCUGAAUGGAUCAGUCAACAUGACAGAGAACACCAGACAAUAUCUUUGACAUCAAGACAUAGCUCUGCUUAACCCUGUCUGAGACCGUGAAAGGCUCAGAUGUCUCACCAUUACCCUGAACUCUAGCUUGAUUGCCAUCAUGGAACUGUGACGCCAUAGUGAUGAACUUCCAUGGGAAACCAUACUUUACCAUUGUCUUCCACAGACCCUCUCUGCAAACAGUGUCGAAAGCCUUCGUCAGGUUGACAUAGCUGGAGAACAGGUCAGCAUUUUGCUCCUGACAUUCCUCUUGCAGCAAACACCACACUGAUAGUCCCACACUCUUUCUAGUUCCAUACUGGCUCUCUGAUAGCAGUCUCCUGUCAAUGUCUGAUUUGAGAAGCGUGGCAAACGUCUUGACUAUGAUGGCCAACAAGGAUAUUCCCCGAUAGUUAUCCAGCUUUCCCUCUCACUUAUACAGGUGGAUGAUGGAUGCAUCUUUCAAUUCCAGUGUUAGCUUCUCUUACUAACACAAGAGUUGGAAGGUAAAUGCAAUGUCAGCAUUCAUUUAGCAAGGACUAGAAGAUAAAAGGAAGGGUGUGAAAACAAUGCUUUGUAAGGCACUGAUGAUGCCUCAUGUGGAAUAUUGGGAGCAGUUUGGGCCCCUCAGUUUUGAAAAAUUGUACUGGCAUUGGAGAGGAUGUAGAGGAGAUUUAUGUCAAUGAUUCCAGGAAUGAAAGGGUAAAUGUCUGAGGACUAUUUUCUGAUUAUGGGCCUAUAUUUGCUGGAAUUUAGAAGAAUGAGGGAGAAUCUCAUUGAAACCUAUCAAAUAUUGAAAGGCCCAGACAGCAUGGAUGUAGUGAGGAUGUUUCCUACAGUAGGAGAGUCUAUGACCAGAGGGCACAGUGUUAUGGUCUGGUCCGGAGCCCGCAUUCCGGGUCUUGAUCCGGUCCACGGACUCCAGACUCCGGGUCUUGUAACUGCCCCUCCUUUCAGCCUUAAGCCCAAAUAAGAUCAUCUUGUCUUAAGGAGGCACACCUGAUGCCUAUCGGCUGGAAGGUGAAAAUAAGAGACACUGGGACUGAGUUUAGUUGGGGGGUUGUUCUGUUUAUUCUGACCUGUUUGUCUGGUUUUGUUCUGCUUGUUGUGUUUGUCCUGGCUUUGAGUACCCUCUGUUAAUCAACAAGUUCUGUGAGUCAGUCUCAUAGUCACCCUGGACUGAACUCCCUUCCGAUUCUUGCCUUUGUUGGGUAAGCACACUGGACUGCCGUUGCCUGGUGGGGGACUCUGAACUUCCUACCCCUUGCUCCCAGGUGCUCUGUGCCUUGCCCAGGCCCCCAUGUUCCUGCCUGCGAGGUAACCCUGGGGAAUUAUUGUGGCCCGCCCUGAGGACUCUGACCCUUUCCUACCCCUUGCUCCUGAUGGUUUGUGCCAUGCAACCUGCCCAGGUGCUCUGCAUCUUGCCCAAGCCCCCAUGUUCCUGCCUGGGAGGUGGCCCUGACCAGGAGUUAUUGUGGCCCACCCUGAGGACUCUGACCCUUUCCUACCCCUUGCUCCCAACGGGUUGUGCCCCGCAACCGGUCCAGGUGCUCCGUGUCUUGCCCAAGCCCCUGUGUUCCUGCCUGGGAGGUGACCCUGCCCAGGAGUUAUGCAGCCUGCCCAGGGGCUCCCCUCCCAGCAUUCCUUGUCCCAAAGACCCAUCCUCUUGCCUAGCCAAGAUCCUGCCUCGCCAUGAACUCCGGGAGCCUCCUCACCUGAACUUUAAGACUCUCUCGGAACCCCAGCAUCACCUUGAACGUCAUGACCCUCACGCUCACCACGGUCUCCAUGUCUUGUCUCUCGUUUAGUUGUUCCCGUCCUGUCCCUAGUACUUCAGUGCCUGCGUCCUGCAAUUGGGUCCAGCCCUGUCCCUUUAUGACACACAGACACAGAAUUGAGGGAACUCCAUUAAGAACAGAGAUGAGGAAGAAUUUAUUUUGCCAGAGCAUGAUGUAUCUGUGAGACAGCUGUGGAGGCCAAGUUAUUGAGUAUAUUUAAAGUGGAGGUUGAUAGGUUCUUGGUUAGACAGGCCAUUGAAGGUUAUGGGAAGAAGUCAGCAGAAUGAGAUUGAGAGGGAUAAUAAAACAGCCACGAUGGAAUGGUGGAACAGACUCAAUAAGACAAAUGGCAUAAUCUGCUCCUGUUGUAUGACUUACAUGAAUGUCACAACAAAGCUUCCUCUUUUACAUCCUCCCUCGCUCUGAAGGUGAGUUACUCAUCUGGUCCUUGGCCUCAUCAUCCUGUCCAAUGGAAAGUUUAACAUUUCAGUACUUGCGUUUCAAACUUCAGCUGUACUGAUUCUGCUAACUAUGUUUUUCCAGUCGAUCUCUAUCGCCACUACAGGCAACUGAGAAGGAGAAGCAGAGUCCAGCAGCAUUGGCAGAAGGCUGUCUCUGGGAGCUGCUGGGCAGAACUGCCUACGGUAGCAUCAAGAAUGCCAUCAAGCCUGUUUUAAUGAGCCUCCAGGUGAACCACCAGGCUUGUCCGGAUUGUCUUGAUGGAAAUUAUGGAUGAGGGAAGGGUCCAGGAUGAAGGAGCUGGAAUCCAGGAGCAUUCCUCCAGGCCGUAUCCCUCCCACUCGACCAGACACUGCUGAUCCUGUCUUCUGCUUAUGAUGUGGCUGUCGAUAUGGAGAGGUCUCUUGCCUGUUCUGUUUACUCUGUGGGCUGCGUCCAGUGAUAUACUGAAUUGCAUAAUGGAAAAAAACUGCUACGAUCUGUCCGUAUUUGAGGAGAUGACGGUAUGUGUUGAUGGCUGCAAAGCAGCUAACCCCAGUCUGAAAAGGGCCAAAAGGAUGGAACAUUUCCGCUGGGGAAAACCACGAGGAAGACGGCGGCGGCGGAAGAAUACAACAAAAGAAGUGACGAUCCCCAAACAAAAUAAUUGACUAUGACAAAUAAUAUGAGAACUAUUUUCGGCAAGAUGUUCAAACAGACCAGGCAUUGGAAGUGCAGUGGGCAGGGAUAAAACCUUGAUAAUGCACCGAGUUCCUGGAAUCAUAGAGACCAUCCUCCUUGAUCGGAACUUGAUCAUCAAGGAUAGCCAGGAGGUCAACCCUCAGCAACAGUGAUGGAGCUGAGUAAAAAAGCUAGCUGGGUGUAAAUGAUAGGACCUGCCAUCAAUGUAUUAAUUGAGCAAUUGGUAAACUGAAAAAUAAAGUUUUUCU
Long non-coding RNA from Hypanus sabinus (Atlantic stingray), 3788 nucleotides. RefSeq lists it as uncharacterized. The transcript is spliced from 4 exons. The record is from RefSeq and is a predicted model, not a curated record. NCBI's taxonomy places the organism in Eukaryota, Metazoa, Chordata, Chondrichthyes, Myliobatiformes, Dasyatidae.